This is a long non-coding RNA of Cloeon dipterum, 1116 nucleotides long. RefSeq lists it as uncharacterized. NCBI's taxonomy places the organism in Eukaryota, Metazoa, Arthropoda, Insecta, Ephemeroptera, Baetidae. The record is from RefSeq and is a predicted model, not a curated record. The transcript has 4 exons.
GAUAGAUCUGCGUGUGCAGAAAAGAGGUGUUUCAUAAACCUCAAAUCAAAUAGAGAGGCAAUGUUCAAAGCCCACGAACACCGAUAUUUAUACUCAUACGAAGAAGCUGUGAUGGAAUUGGAAGUGGAUAAAAAUUCUGACGGAUUUUGCGUCGACAUCGUAUUUUCCUGCAUGAAAUCCAAACAAGCUACGUUUCAAUUGACAAUUAUGCAAGGAGAAAAAGUGGUGCAGAAUUUCACCCAGAAAGUAGAUCCUGAUAUUGAAAAUAAAUGGGUCACGAGGAGGUUCGAAAACCAGAGGCUGAUUUUAGAAAGCAAAUGGAAACUCCGGUUAACGGCCAAAGAUUUUAAUAUCGGUGCGAUCAAAUUCUGUGCUACUGCAGGUGAUAUGAUCGUCCAACCCAUAGGAAAAAACAUGGAAAGCUGUCAUUUGUUGGUGGAAAGUGAUUACUACAAAAAGCUGGCUUUGAGGAAAAGAGUUACAGGAAUUCUCAAUGAUUGGUUCUACCAAACGUUUAAGUCUACAUAUCAGGCUUGUGGGGAAAGCGGACGCUGCAUCUCACUCAACGCGGAAAUCACGGAAGAUUCACAAUUAAUUUCUCAAACGAGUGACAAACACUACUUCUUAGUUAUUUUGAGCUCCUGGAACGUGGUCAGCCUCUUGAUGACCUUGAUCCUCAUUUUUUGGCUAUAUCUGCAGUCGAAAAGAUUGCAAGAUUCGAUGAUGGUAAUUGAGAAAAAGUUGCAAGAGAGAGCUGCUCUCCCCGCCGAAUAUGAAACAAAGGAGAGGACUCCUGAACAGGGUGAACAGCUCGAAUCUGUGUCUUCCAACCCCAAUACAUAUUUUAGAAACAGAGCUUUCAAUAUCGAAUCGUCGAGGCAAUCUUUAACUGAUGAAGCUGAUCAAGAAGUGUAAUUUAUUAUUGCUGCUAGAAACUGCGACUCAAAUGUAUUAAAAAUAAAUAAAUUCUAUUUUGACGAGCGUGUUUAAAACAAAUAAUAAAUGCGCAUGCUAAUUUAUAAAUAAAUAAUUAUCUAUUUAUGUAAAAUGUAUUUGAGAAUUUAAUCUAUUUAUAGUCAAAAUAAUAAAUUUGUUAAAUGCAGGUUGCUUAAAAUA